UGACCAUUCUGGUGGCCUAGUGGUUAGAGCAUCUCUCUCAGAUGAGGGAGGUUGUGGGUUUGAUCCCCGGCCUAGUCAU
This is a non-coding RNA of Potamilus streckersoni, 79 nucleotides long. The record is from the annotation of a GenBank genome assembly. NCBI's taxonomy places the organism in Eukaryota, Metazoa, Mollusca, Bivalvia, Unionida, Unionidae.